UUACCAAACUGUUGCCNCGGCGGGAUCUCUGCCCCGGGUGCGUCGCAGCCCCGGACCAAGGCGCCCGCCGGAGGACCAACCUAAAACUCUUAUUGUAUACCCCUCGCGGGUUUUUUUAUAAUCUGAGCCUUCUCGGCGCCUCUCGUAGGCGUUUCGAAAAUGAAUCAAAACUUUCAACAACGGAUCUCUUGGUUCUGGCAUCGAUGAAGAACGCAGCGAAAUGCGAUAAGUAAUGUGAAUUGCAGAAUUCAGUGAAUCAUCGAAUCUUUGAACGCACAUUGCGCCCGCCAGUAUUCUGGCGGGCAUGCCUGUCCGAGCGUCAUUUCAACCCUCGAACCCCUCCGGGGGGUCGGCGUUGGGGAUCGGCCUCCCUCACCGGGGGCCGUCUCCGAAAUACAGUGGCGGUCUCGCCGCAGCCUCUCCUGCGCAGUAGUUUGCACACUCGCAUCGGGAGCGCGGCGCGUCCACAGCCGUUAAACACCCCAAAUUUCUGAAAUGUUGACCUCGGAUCAGGUAGGAAUACCCGCUGAACUUAAGCAUAUCAAUAAGCGGAGGAAAAGA
This 561-nucleotide ribosomal RNA is filed under the name Trichoderma harzianum. Its description in RNAcentral is "eukaryotic LSU rRNA". The stretch from base 169 to 322 matches the Rfam family "5.8S ribosomal RNA". Lineage: Eukaryota; Fungi; Ascomycota; Sordariomycetes; Hypocreales; Hypocreaceae. The record is from RNAcentral.